GGGCAGUUGGUUUACUUGGUUAAAACGCAUCUGUACGGAUGAAAAGGAGGUUCAAAUCCUUCACUGUCCA
Molecule: transfer RNA, 70 nt
Filed under: Bacteroides faecis
Lineage: Bacteria; Pseudomonadati; Bacteroidota; Bacteroidia; Bacteroidales; Bacteroidaceae
Description: tRNA-OTHER
Rfam family: tRNA
About the family: Transfer RNA (tRNA) molecules are approximately 80 nucleotides in length. Their secondary structure includes four short double-helical elements and three loops (D, anti-codon, and T loops).
Source: RNAcentral